This 492-nucleotide ribosomal RNA is filed under the name uncultured bacterium. RNAcentral's name for it is "partial 16S ribosomal RNA". It matches the Rfam family "Bacterial small subunit ribosomal RNA", at positions 28 to 507 of the family's 1533-position model. The record is from RNAcentral.
GAUGAACGCUCGCUACAGGCUUAACACAUGCAAGUCGAGGGGAAACGACAUCGAAAGCUUGCUUUUGAUGGGCGUCGACCGGCGCACGGGUGAGUAACGCGUAUCCAACCUGCCCAUCACUUGGGAAUAACCUUGCGAAAGUAAGACUAAUACCCAAUGACAUCCCACGAAGACAUCUGAAUGGGAUUAAAGAUUUAUCGGUGAUGGAUGGGGAUGCGUCUGAUUAGCUUGUUGGCGGGGUAACGGCCCACCAAGGCAACGAUCAGUAGGGGUUCUGAUAGGAAGGUCCCCCACAUUGGAACUGAGACACGGUCCAAACUCCUACGGGAGGCAGCAGUGAGGAAUAUUGGUCAAUGGGCGAGAGCCUGAACCAGCCAAGUAGCGUGCAGGAUGACGGCCCUAUGGGUUGUAAACUGCUUUUAUAAGGGAAUAAAGUGGGUCUCGUGAGACUUUUUGCAUGUACCUUAUGAAUAAGGACCGGCUAAUUCCGUG